ACGGCCGCGGUACCCUAACCGCGCGAAGGUAGCAUAAUCACUUGUUCUUUAAAUGAGGACUAGAAUCAACGGCAUCACGAGGGUUCUUCUGUCUCCUUUUUCUAAUCAGUGAAACUAAUCUCCCCGUGAAGAAGCGGGGAUAAAUCUAUAAGACGAGAAGACCCCAUGGAGCUUUAAACCUAGCCACACCCUAAAAUUCCUAUACCAUCUUAUUAACCAGGCUCUGCCCGCUAAGUUUUAGGUUGGGGCGACCGCGGAGUAAAACAAAGCCUCCACGAUGAACGAAACUACCCUCUAAUCUAAGAAGCUUACUUCUAAGAAUUAGUAUUCUAACAUAGCAUGAUCCGGUAACCGAUCAACGGACCAAGUUACCCUGGGGAUAACAGCGCAAUCCACUUCAAGAGCUCCUAUUAACAAGUGGGUUUACGACCUCGAUGUUGGAUCAGGGUAUCCCAGCGGUGCAGCAGCUGCUAACGGUUCGUUUGUUCAACGAUUAAAACCCU
This 503-nucleotide ribosomal RNA is filed under the name Gephyromantis plicifer. RNAcentral's name for it is "partial 16S ribosomal RNA". It matches the Rfam family "Bacterial large subunit ribosomal RNA", at positions 1927 to 2597 of the family's 2925-position model. Lineage: Eukaryota; Metazoa; Chordata; Amphibia; Anura; Mantellidae. The record is from RNAcentral.